RNAcentral lists this long non-coding RNA (322 nucleotides) under Androctonus crassicauda. Lineage: Eukaryota; Metazoa; Arthropoda; Arachnida; Scorpiones; Buthidae. The record is from RNAcentral.
UGCAUCUCCAGACUUGGAUGAGUGUCCAUUGGGUUUUUCAUGAUGCCCUUGUAGCUUAAGUUUGCAGGAAUUUUUUCUUUAUAGAAACAACAUUUCAUGUUUCUAGGUUACAUUGACUCAUCCAGUCCUGAGCUAGAGUGCAUUUAUUUUAGGUAAAGACGCCUUUCUGAGGCUAUAGUCUCAUAUCUCUCAGAUUAAAAGAAGAGGAAGAUCAGGUAAACAUUUACCAUGUAGUUGUAAAACCCAAAAUCCACACCUCCAUUGGCUUUCUUCCCACUUCUCUGCACUAUUCAAGCGUCUGGAGAGAGAACAGUAACAGGAG